Molecule: ribosomal RNA, 160 nt
Filed under: Delarbrea montana
Lineage: Eukaryota; Viridiplantae; Streptophyta; Magnoliopsida; Apiales; Myodocarpaceae
Description: 5.8S ribosomal RNA
Rfam family: 5.8S ribosomal RNA
About the family: 5.8S ribosomal RNA (5.8S rRNA) is a component of the large subunit of the eukaryotic ribosome. It is transcribed by RNA polymerase I as part of the 45S precursor that also contains 18S and 28S rRNA.
Source: RNAcentral
AAACGACUCUCGGCAACGGAUAUCUCGGCUCUCGAUCGAUGAAGAACGUAGCGAAAUGCGAUACUUGGUGUGAAUUGCAGAAUCCCGUGAACCAUCGAGUCUUUGAACGCAAGUUGCCCCGAAGCCAUUCGGCUGAGGGCACGUCUGCCUGGGCGUCAGC